UUAACGCUGGCGGCGUGCCUAAUACAUGCAAGUCGAGCGAACAGACGAGGAGCUUGCUCCUCUGACGUUAGCGGCGGACGGGUGAGUAACACGUGGAUAACCUACCUAUAAGACUGGGAUAACUUCGGGAAACCGGAGCUAAUACCGGAUAAUAUAUUGAACCGCAUGGUUCAAUAGUGAAAGACGGUUUUGCUGUCACUUAUAGAUGGAUCCGCGCCGCAUUAGCUAGUUGGUAAGGUAACGGCUUACCAAGGCAACGAUGCGUAGCCGACCUGAGAGGGUGAUCGGCCACACUGGAACUGAGACACGGUCCAGACUCCUACGGGAGGCAGCAGUAGGGAAUCUUCCGCAAAGGGCGAAAGCCUGACGGAGCAACGCCGCGUGAGUGAUGAAGGUCUUCGGAUCGUAAAACUCUGUUAUUAGGGAAGAACAAAUGUGUAAGUAACUAUGCACGUCUUGACGGUACCUAAUCAGAAAGCCACGGCUAACUACGUG
This 495-nucleotide ribosomal RNA is filed under the name uncultured bacterium. RNAcentral's name for it is "partial 16S ribosomal RNA". It matches the Rfam family "Bacterial small subunit ribosomal RNA", at positions 32 to 507 of the family's 1533-position model. The record is from RNAcentral.